Molecule: ribosomal RNA, 737 nt
Filed under: uncultured bacterium
Lineage: Bacteria
Description: bacterial SSU rRNA
Rfam family: Bacterial small subunit ribosomal RNA
Source: RNAcentral
GAUGAACGCUGGCGGCGUGCUUAACACAUGCAAGUCGAACGGAGUGCUCAUGACGGAGGAUUCGUCCAACGGAUUGAGUUACUUAGUGGCGGACGGGUGAGUAACGCGUGAGGAACCUGCCUCGGAGUGGGGAAUAACAGCCCGAAAGGGUUGCUAAUACCGCAUGAUGCAGCUGGGUCGCAUGACCCUGGCUGCCAAAGAUUUAUCGCUCUGAGAUGGCCUCGCGUCUGAUUAGCUAGUAGGCGGGGUAACGGCCCACCUAGGCGACGAUCAGUAGCCGGACUGAGAGGUUGACCGGCCACAUUGGGACUGAGACACGGCCCAGACUCCUACGGGAGGCAGCAGUGGGGAAUAUUGGGCAAUGGGCGCAAGCCUGACCCAGCAACGCCGCGUGAAGGAAGAAGGCCCUCGGGUUGUAAACUUCUUUUAUCAGGGACGAAUAGAUGACGGUACCUGAUGAAUAAGCCACGGCUAACUACGUGCCAGCAGCCGCGGUAAUACGUAGGUGGCAAGCGUUAUCCGGAUUUACUGGGUGUAAAGGGCGUGUGGGCGGGACUGCAAGUCAGAUGUGAAAACUAUGGGCUCAACCCAUAGCCUGCAUUUGAAACUGUAGUUCUUGAGUGCUGGAGAGGCAAUCGGAAUUCCUAGUGUAGCGGUGAAAUGCGUAGAUAUUAGGAGGAACACCAGUGGCGAAGGCGGAUUGCUGGACAGUAACUGACGCUGAAGCGCGAAAGCGU